CCCGGCAAUAAAUUGCUGGGCUAUUAUUUCGGUCAUGCCUGCGGCAUU
This 48-nucleotide small RNA is filed under the name Mongoliibacter ruber. RNAcentral's name for it is "Acido-Lenti-1 RNA". The record is from RNAcentral. Lineage: Bacteria; Pseudomonadati; Bacteroidota; Cytophagia; Cytophagales; Cyclobacteriaceae.